This is a long non-coding RNA of Dama dama (fallow deer), 607 nucleotides long. RefSeq lists it as uncharacterized. The transcript is spliced from 3 exons. Lineage: Eukaryota; Metazoa; Chordata; Mammalia; Artiodactyla; Cervidae. The record is from RefSeq and is a predicted model, not a curated record.
GCUCCUCCUGCUCGGGGGCAAACGUGAAGACCACAGUUUUGUGCAGCAGGCUGCAGAGAGAAGAGGGGAGGGAGGAGGCAGGAGGUUUACGGGGCUCCCUGAAGCUCUGCGUCAUUUUUUCAGCUGGGCCUCUAAGGGGUCAGCCCCCUGCCUCUAGCUGCAGCACUUCCUCUGAUUUGCCCUAACGUCCUCUGAGCUUCCUGGGGGCCUGGAGUCUUUCUACUGCAGAAAUUUCACAAAGGUGUGGGCCCUCGUUUCCUGUUGGAAGUGUUUCCCUGCCUAGUAAUGCCAAGCUCACUGUGUCUUCAUGCCCUCCCUAAGGGUCUGAUCACUCUGAGACUUCUGAGGAUACCUUCUCAUCACAGGAGCUGGAUAUGGUCCAGAGACACCAGAGAAAGCUAAAUCCUUGGCCAACUCUGAGAAAGCACAGGUGUGUCUGUGACCAUGCAGAUCAAGAUACCCUAGGAGAUGAUGGAGCAACCAUGGAAGGAACCCAGGCUCCUGCAUAAUCAUGGGAGCUGAGCCAUCCCACUGACCUGGACCAUUUACUUCUGAGUCUUCUAUAAGAACAACAAUAAUAAAAAACUACAUUAUUUAAUCCACUGUA